AAAUUGAAGAGUUUGAUCAUGGCUCAGAUUGAACGCUGGCGGCAGGCCUAACACAUGCAAGUCGAACGGUAGCACAGAGAGCUUGCUCUCGGGUGACGAGUGGCGGACGGGUGAGUAAUGUCUGGGAAACUGCCUGAUGGAGGGGGAUAACUACUGGAAACGGUGGCUAAUACCGCAUAACGUCGCAAGACCAAAGAGGGGGACCUUCGGGCCUCUUGCCAUCAGAUGUGCCCAGAUGGGAUUAGCUAGUUGGUGAGGUAACGGCUCACCAAGGCGACGAUCCCUAGCUGGUCUGAGAGGAUGACCAGCCACACUGGAACUGAGACACGGUCCAGACUCCUACGGGAGGCAGCAGUGGGGAAUAUUGCACAAUGGGCGCAAGCCUGAUGCAGCCAUGCCGCGUGUAUGAAGAAGGCCUUCGGGUUGUAAAGUACUUUCAGCGGGGAGGAAGGUGUUGUGGUUAAUAACCGCAGCAAUUGACGUUACCCGCAGAAGAAGCACCGGCUAACUCCGUGCCAGCAGCCGCGGUAAUACGGAGGGUGCAAGCGUUAAUCGGAAUUACUGGGCGUAAAGCGCACGCAGGCGGUCUGUCAAGUCGGAUGUGAAAUCCCCGGGCUCAACCUGGGAACUGCAUUCGAAACUGGCAGGCUUGAGUCUUGUAGAGGGGGGUAGAAUUCCAGGUGUAGCGGUGAAAUGCGUAGAGAUCUGGAGGAAUACCGGUGGCGAAGGCGGCCCCCUGGACAAAGACUGACGCUCAGGUGCGAAAGCGUGGGGAGCAAACAGGAUUAGAUACCCUGGUAGUCCACGCCGUAAACGAUGUCUACUUGGAGGUUGUGCCCUUGAGGCGUGGCUUCCGGAGCUAACGCGUUAAGUAGACCGCCUGGGGAGUACGGCCGCAAGGUUAAAACUCAAAUGAAUUGACGGGGGCCCGCACAAGCGGUGGAGCAUGUGGUUUAAUUCGAUGCAACGCGAAGAACCUUACCUGGUCUUGACAUCCACGGAAGUUUUCAGAGAUGAGAAUGUGCCUUCGGGAACCGUGAGACAGGUGCUGCAUGGCUGUCGUCAGCUCGUGUUGUGAAAUGUUGGGUUAAGUCCCGCAACGAGCGCAACCCUUAUCCUUUGUUGCCAGCGGUCCGGCCGGGAACUCAAAGGAGACUGCCAGUGAUAAACUGGAGGAAGGUGGGGAUGACGUCAAGUCAUCAUGGCCCUUACGACCAGGGCUACACACGUGCUACAAUGGCGCAUACAAAGAGAAGCGACCUCGCGAGAGCAAGCGGACCUCAUAAAGUGCGUCGUAGUCCGGAUUGGAGUCUGCAACUCGACUCCAUGAAGUCGGAAUCGCUAGUAAUCGUGGAUCAGAAUGCCACGGUGAAUACGUUCCCGGGCCUUGUACACACCGCCCGUCACACCAUGGGAGUGGGUUGCAAAAGAAGUAGGUAGCUUAACCUUCGGGAGGGCGCUUACCACUUUGUGAUUCAUGACUGGGGUGAAGUCGUAACAAGGUAACCGUAGGGGAACCUGCGGUUGGAUCACCUCCUUA
Molecule: ribosomal RNA, 1540 nt
Filed under: Salmonella enterica
Lineage: Bacteria; Pseudomonadati; Pseudomonadota; Gammaproteobacteria; Enterobacterales; Enterobacteriaceae
Also listed under: 1 other name
Description: bacterial SSU rRNA
Rfam family: Bacterial small subunit ribosomal RNA
Source: RNAcentral